GCGACAGGAAGGAACAAUGGCGGUGGCCGGUGGAGGGAUCUUAUUUAGACGCCGCUACAUAGUUGUAGUACGAUGGGUGGGGGGGAGGCCGGGUGGUUGUCUCGUCAUCGCGGGUGGCUCAGUUGCAGCUGCAGCAGGAGCAGCCGCAGCUGGUGCCGCAGUUGCAGGUGUUGCAGUCGCAGCCGCCGCCCUCGGCGGCCGCCUCGAACCCGCCGGCGCUCGCCUUGGUGGCGGGGGCGGCGAGGACCGUGGGCUUCACGCUGGCGACGCCGGCGGUCUCCACGUCAGGGAACAUCUUGCAGCUGCACGAUCGAGGACGGAUGGGUCAUAUAUACAUACGCGUUCAGACAGAUUCACAGAUACGACCGUGGUCAUGAAUAUGGGUGUGUUUUACCCGCCGCAUCCGCUGCCGCAGUUGCAGCCGGAGGUGCACGCGCAGUUGCCGCCGCAGCAAGACAUGCUUUGAUGAGUCGAAGGAAAGAAAGGAGGACGGUGGGUGCUUGGCUCUGAUUGCUUUGCUUGUGAAUUGCGAUGGUGAGGAUGGCAGGGUGGGCGAGGAGGGGUAUAAAUAGGCGGCGGAGUGGACGGCAGGACGGGCGGGAAAGAAUGGACGCGGGCGAGCCAGGGACCACCACCUGCUCUGCUAAGCUGCUCGCUCAUCCGAUGAGAGACUGAAGCGCCUGCUACAGAUUCAUUAUUAAACUAAACUGAUGAGUCUCCUGGAUCAACGCCAACCUCUGCCGUCAUUUUCGUCUGCAGGAGGAGCACUUGGCUGCUGCGGAAUCAGAACCUUUGCCGCCCCGCCGCCGCCACCAACGAUGGAUGAUGAAUCGAGAGGCAUCAGAGACGCGAGCAUCCGGUAACAGCUAGUGAGCUGUCGAUGGAGCCAAGCAGGAGCGUGAGGAC
Molecule: unclassified non-coding RNA, 906 nt
Filed under: Zea mays
Lineage: Eukaryota; Viridiplantae; Streptophyta; Magnoliopsida; Poales; Poaceae
Description: misc RNA Zm00001eb355780
Source: RNAcentral